CAGAAGGCAUCAGGUAAUAACAGAGGGUUUGAUUAUGGCUCAGAUUGAACGCUGGCGGGAUGCUUUACAUGCAAGUCGGAGCAACGCUGGACUUCGGUCUGGUGGCGAGUGGCGAACGGGUGAGUAAUGUAUCAGACGUGCCUGGUAGCGGGGGAUAACUACGCGAAAGCGUAGCUAAUACCGCAUACGCCCUUCGGGGAAAGCGGGGGACCUUCGGGCCUCGCACUAUUAGAGCGGCCGAUAUCGGAUUAGCUAGUUGGUGGGAGUAACGGCUCACCAAGGCGACGAUCCGUAGCUGGUUUGAGAGGACGACCUUCCUGCUGGGACUGAGACACGGCCCGAACUCUACGGGAGAGCAGCAGUGAAAUUUUGGACAAUGGGAAACCCUGAUCCAGCGCGCAUCCGCGUGUGCGAUGAAGGCCUUCGGGUUGUAAAGCACUUUUGGCAGGAAAAAAACGGCACGGGAUAAUACCCCGUGCAACUGACAGCCACCUGCAGAUAAGCGCCAGCCCAACUUCACGUGCAGCAGCCGCGGUAAUACGUAGGGGUGCAAGCGGUAAUCGGAAUUACUGGGCGUAAAGCGUGCGCAGGCAGUUCGGAAAAGAAAAGAUGUGAAAUCCCAGAGCUUAACUGGAACUGCAUUUUUAACUACCGAGCUAGAGUGUCAGAGGAGGUGGAAUUCCGCGUGUAGCAGUGAAAUGCGUAGAUAUGCGGAGGAACACCGAUGGCGAAGGCAGCCUCCUGGAGGUUAACACUGACGCUCAUGCACGAAAGUAAGCUGAUAGGCGGGAGCAAACAGGAUUAGAUACCCUGGUAGUCCACGCCUAAACGAUGUCAACUAGCUGUUGGGGCCUUCGGAGCCUUGGUAGCGCAGCUAACGCGUGAAGUUGACCGCCUGGGGAUACGGUCGCAGAUUAAAACUCAAAGGAAUUGAGCGGGGACCCGCACAAGCGGUGGAUUGAUGUGGAUUAAUUCGAUGCAACGAAAACCUUACCUACCCUUGACAUGUCUGGAAUCCCGAAGAGAUUUGGGAGUGCUCGCAAGGGCUUGGAACACAGGUGCUGCAUGGCUGUCGUCAGCUCGUGUCGUGAGAUGUUGGGUUAAGUCCCGCAACGAGCGCAACCCUUGUCAUUAGUUACUACGAAGGGCACUCUAAUGAGACUGCCGGUGACAAACCGGAGGAAGGUGGGGAUGACGUCAAGUCCUCAUGGCCCUUAUGGUGGGGGCUUCACACGUCAUACAAUGGUCGGGACGGAGGUCGCCAACCCGCGAGGAGCCAAUCCCAGAAACUGAUCGUAGUCCGGAUCACCGGUCUGCAACUCGACUGCGUGAAGUCGGAAUCUUAGUAAUCGCGGAUCAGCAUGUCGCGGUGAAUACGUUCCCGGGUCUUGUACACACCGCCCGUCACACCAUGGGAAUUGGGUUUUUGCCAAGUAGUUAGCCUAACCGUAAGGAGGGCGAUUACACGGUAGGAUUCAUGACUGGGGGUGAAGUCGUAACUGGGUAG
Molecule: ribosomal RNA, 1507 nt
Filed under: uncultured Bordetella sp.
Lineage: Bacteria; Pseudomonadati; Pseudomonadota; Betaproteobacteria; Burkholderiales; Alcaligenaceae
Description: partial 16S-23S ribosomal RNA intergenic spacer
Rfam family: Bacterial small subunit ribosomal RNA
Source: RNAcentral